Molecule: ribosomal RNA, 627 nt
Filed under: uncultured bacterium
Lineage: Bacteria
Description: bacterial SSU rRNA
Rfam family: Bacterial small subunit ribosomal RNA (bases 1-543)
Source: RNAcentral
CCUACGGGAGGCAGCAGUGGGGAAUUUUGGACAAUGGGCGCAAGCCUGAUCCAGCCAUGCCGCGUGCGGGAAGAAGGCCUUCGGGUUGUAAACCGCUUUUGUCAGGGAAGAAAAGGUUCUGGCUAAUACCUGGGACUCAUGACGGUACCUGAAGAAUAAGCACCGGCUAACUACGUGCCAGCAGCCGCGGUAAUACGUAGGGUGCAAGCGUUAAUCGGAAUUACUGGGCGUAAAGCGCGCGCAGGCGGUUAUGCAAGACAGAGGUGAAAUCCCCGGGCUCAACCUGGGAACUGCCUUUGUGACUGCAUAGCUAGAGUACGGUAGAGGGGGAUGGAAUUCCGCGUGUAGCAGUGAAAUGCGUAGAUAUGCGGAGGAACACCGAUGGCGAAGGCAAUCCCCUGGACCUGUACUGACGCUCAUGCACGAAAGCGUGGGGAGCAAACAGGAUUAGAUACCCUGGUAGUCCACGCCCUAAACCGAUGUCAACUGGUUGUUGGGAGGGUUUCUUCUCAGUAACGUAGCUAACGCGUGAAGUUGACCGCCUGGGGAGGACGGCCGCGAGUAGUUAAGUUAAAGUAAAGUUAGUUAGGCGUUGAGACGNGCGACGGACGACGACGAGGGAGGAGG